GUAAAUGUGUUGUCCCCUCAAAAUAACAACACAAAUUGUCUAAACCAGUGGAAACAAAAGUGAGUACACCCCCAUGUGAGAACGCCCACAUGGUGCCCAAUUAGCUGUUUUCUCUCCCCAGUGUCAUGUGAUGUGACUCAUUAUUAUUAAAAGCUCUCAGGUGUGUUAAAUUUGGUGUCAUCACCAUCGCUGUCUCAUACUGAUCACUGGAAGCUCAACAUGGCCCCUCAUGGCAAAAACCAUUGAGGAUCUGAAAAAAACGACAUGGCCUAGACCAGGGAUCUGCGACUCCAGUCCUCGAGAGCCGGUGUCCUGUGACUUUUAGAUGUCUACUUCAACACACGAGUCAAAUAUAUUAGCAGGAUUCUGGAGAACUUGAUUGGAGGUGAUUCAGGCCAGGGACGCAACUAAAAUGCUGCCGGACACCAGAACUGGAGUUGAAAACCCCUGGCCAAGGCUGUAAGAAGAUCGCCUCCACUCUGAAACUGAGCUGCAGCACACAGAACAGAACAGGCCUCGCUGUGGUCGACUAAAGAAGUUGAGUGGAUGUGCUCAGCGUCAUAUCCAGAGAUUGAGUUUUUAAAAUAGAUGCCAGCAUUACUGUAGCGUCAGAUGGUGUCAAGCGUGUGUGGCAGUAACCAGAAAAUGGGCUGCAGGGCGCUACGCCGACAUGGUUACGGCCCCAAACAUGCCUCAAAGACGACUACGUAUUUGCUAAAGAAACUGGCCAAGCAUGUCAACAGGCCUGAACCCUGGUGAACAUUUGGGGCGUCCUCAAAUAGAAGGUGGAGGAGCAAAACGUCCCCAACAUCCACCAGCUUCACAAUGUCAACAUGGAAGACGAUUCCUGUGAACCUCUAGUGAACUCCCUGUCCAAGAACGCAAAGGAAGUGAUGCAAAAUAAUGGUGGCAGCACAACAUACACACAUUUUGGGGACAAUUUGUACUCACUUUUGUUGGCACUGGUUUAGACAAUGAGUGCGGAGUUAUUUUUAUAGGAUAGCUAAUUUACGUUCAUACAAGCUGCACACAGAUUACUUCAAUUCAUAUUUAAGUGUUGUAUUUUCAGUGUUGUCCCAUAAAAUGGUAUAAUACAACAUGAGGGGGUGUUCUCACUUCUGUGAGAUAUUGUACAUUAUAUUAGGUGAUGAAAAGCCAAAAUCUGAAUUCUUCAUAAACCCUCCCAAAAAAGGCUUUUCAAAGCCAAAAUGUUGUCACACGAAAGACUGCUAUGCUGUCUUUAACUGAACAGUCGUAAGAGCUGUUCAGAGCACUGUAAAUUUCUGAUUGGAAAGUUGAGUGGAAGGAAAGUGUGGUGGAAGAAAAAACAGGUGCAGAAGCAAAAGGGGUAACUCAGGUUGUCAAAGCAAAGGGUUAGAGGCUGAUUGAGUCCAUGCCACACCACAUGGAUGCAGUGGUUUAUACAAAAGCAGCCACAACCGCCAUACAGUAAAUCUACUCCAAGUGUGACUUACUGACAUUUCUGUAAUAAAAUAAUUGAUCAUUCUAAUCUAACACUAUUUCUUUUAUUGAAUUUAUCAAAACUAAACGCCUGAACAAAAGAGUGUAGGUUUCAUUUUUUGAUUUGAAUUUAUGAAAUACACUUUUUUAAUUAUUUAACUAAGCACCUCUACCACGAAAGCAUCCACACACACACACACACACACACACUAAACACAGUCAAGAACCACAAUAGUCAAGAGUUCUUAGUAAAAAUAAUUCAUAUUUUCACAACAUAUAAAUAAUUAUUGGAUCACACAAUACAGAUAUUUUGAUAUGAAUAAAUACUUAACAAAUAAAACCAGGCUUUUUUUUUCAUACAAUACCCUAUUGUCGAAAGAAACUUCCAAACCAUUUGCAUGUUUUGUUACACCUUCUGCUCUUAAGCCGAUGCUUCCUCUACCGGUGGAAUGUCCCUAGACACGUCCUAAAUGCCUCAGCAGCUUAGACAAAUUAUGUGCAAUUUAUAUGAUCUCCUCCCAGGCAACUUAAAAAAAGAAUAAAAUAACUGAAAAAAAAGAUAAAAAUAACUGUCAGAACCCACCUCCAAAAACAUGUUAGGGUGGGUCCUGAUGAGCUGACCACUAGUUGGUCUUUAAUUGAUUAAGGUUAGUCUAGUGGUGAUUAAAGCACACAGAGAUCUACGCACAGGCCGUCAGCAUGUGUGGGCUGGCCCGACAGCUUCAGUUACAGUUGAAUGAAAAAGGCAGACCGAGAGCCUGGUUGUCAUUUCUACACUAAAGCCACAGAUGGACAUCUACAGAGGAGUGGGCGUUUGGCGGCGGGGGCCGAGGGGAAUGACUGCAGCGGCUGAUGUCACGUCAGAGUUUUGAUAAAAAGGUGUCGCGCUUCAGGUUAUCUGCAUUUCUCACUAUUCGAGCCAGAUAAGACAUUCAUGGAAAGAUUUGGGGACGUUCAUGUGAGGUUACACAGAAUUGAAGAUGUCUAUAUGUGGCACAGAAGUUAGUCUAGAAUAACCCAGGCUGGCCGUUUUAAGGAGGUAACAACAACUGUUUUGAUGGCACAUGUUUUUUGGAUUUUUUUUUUCUUUUUAAACCUUUUUGUCUUUUGGCAAAAAAAAAAAGAAAAAGAAAGAAAAAGAAGCAAACAGAUAUAUCAAAAUCCAUUAAAAUCUUCCAAAACCAACAAAAGGAAACAGAAAUGUCAGUUUUGCUUGAGUGUAUCAUCCAGAGGCACAGACCUGUGCAUUUUUCUGUUUGUGUUGUAAAAUGAGGCAUCGGGUUGGAAGGUCCUACAAUACGGACUAGGUUCCAUGCUCACAAAAGCAUUUUAAAAAAAUGGGAGAGCCGAUGUCCCACCCACCCCUCUUAUGGUCCAUAAAAUAUCAGAACUACUUAAAGGCAAAACUUAUCAAGGAUCAGCCCCGAUAAACGCGCCGUCGUGGAAAAACGGCACAGAAAAACACAUUCAGAUUAAGGAAACUCGCCGAAGCAGGCGAUGGGAUUGCUCUUGGAAGUUCGGGAACCACCGUCGUCGUCCCGACUCGUCCAGCGGGAGCGGAGAGAGCAAUGCAACUCUUCAGGGAUUCAUUUACCUACACGUCACCUCAGGCUCGGGUGUACAAUCUCACAGGAGCUGUGUGUGCAUGUGCAAAUGUGUGUAUGCGGUGGUUUGAGACGAGACCAGACCGAGGCGUAUUUGUACGCUCACACCUUCUAUCUUUUGUUGGAAACAAUCCCCUACUGACAGGACCGGCAAUACGACAUUCGUGUGCAUGAUGUGUGUAUGCGUGCGUGUGUGUGAAUGUUUCUAGGUGCUUAAAUUGUAAGUAAACAUGGAAACAAUGUCCAAGGCAACAGAUCUGUGUUGAAGGAGGAGAAAAACUAGAGGAAGGAAAGGAAAAAUAGUAAGAAGUUCUGUCUUUGCUGUGUUCCCUGCCUUCUGAUCGCUGACAACAGGAUGUCGGCUACAAUGGGAAAGGCUCGUGUUUCUGUACAUGUAGCACCAAAACUAGCAGGGACCUGCCCUGUCUGUCUCGCACCGUUUAAACACAUGGUUCGCUUUUACUUUCCGUUUGAAGCUAUUUAACUUACAGAAGUGACGGUAGUUCGUGAGGAUUUGCUUGAAAACGAAUAUUUACUUUUCCACUUGCUGAGCAAUGGACGUUCAUUAUCAAUUUGAGAAUUGUAGGCGAUUGAUCUUUAGGCAAAGAGGGCAUAAAUGAGAUAGGCAUGGGCUGGUUUCUGGAUAUCAAGAGUUAUAAACACAAAAGUAUUAAUUCCAUUCGUCCCAAACUCAAAAGGGACAUGGCGAAACAAAAGUAAAGAUCAUAAGUUCAUAAUAAGUAAGUGCUAAAAAUGAUUUUUCAGAAGAGACAUACAUUUUGAUCUUUUAGGUAAUAAGACAGGGAGUCUUAUAAGUCUGGAAAUGCAAACAUAAUUCCAUUCUUAGUUUUCCUCUUUUCAUACUUAUCCAGAUUUGAAAGCGUCACAUCGCUAUUAAAGAUAGCAUCAAUUUAGAUUUCAUAGUAAACAAAAUAUUUUAUCAGCUAUAAGAAUAAUUGCUGCUUAUACAUUUUAAAUAACAGAAAGUAGAUCUGUUCUAAAUGUUUGUGCCAUUUUGUGUGAAACUGCUGUACUUCAGCUCAGUUAUAUUGUCCAAUUCUCAUAGCGGCCCAUGCCUAAUGAGAGAUUUUUAGGAGGGGAAGCUAAGAUAAACAAAGUUGACCUCCAGACAGGAGGAGCAUUGCAUCGGCUCAGCUCGUCUCACUUCUGCUUCCUACUUCCAGAGACUUGUUUGCUGGGCUUUCCCAACUACUGCAUUUUUCACUUCAACAGAGCAAAAUGCUAGACAGACAGGCAGACGGAUACACAGGUGGAUUAAGACAGACAGACAGACAUGGUAAAAAUCCUUGGCUGUGGUCUAUAAAGCAAUGUCAGAUGCUUCUCGUUAAGCCAAUAUACAAUCAUUUUGUCCGGCACGGUUCUCUACGUACCUCUAAAUACACACUGUACACAAGGG
Molecule: long non-coding RNA, 4482 nt
Organism: Xiphophorus couchianus (Monterrey platyfish)
Lineage: Eukaryota; Metazoa; Chordata; Actinopteri; Cyprinodontiformes; Poeciliidae
Exons: 2
Source: RefSeq, a predicted model, not a curated record